RNAcentral lists this ribosomal RNA (253 nucleotides) under uncultured bacterium. Its description in RNAcentral is "partial 16S ribosomal RNA". It matches the Rfam family "Bacterial small subunit ribosomal RNA", at positions 524 to 776 of the family's 1533-position model. The record is from RNAcentral.
UACGUAGGGUGCGAGCGUUGUCCGGAAUUAUUGGGCGUAAAGGGCUCGUAGGCGGUUUGUCGCGUCGGGAGUGAAAACUCAGGGCUUAACCCUGAGCCUGCUUCCGAUACGGGCAGACUAGAGGUAUGCAGGGGAGAACGGAAUUCCUGGUGUAGCGGUGAAAUGCGCAGAUAUCAGGAGGAACACCGGUGGCGAAGGCAGAUCUCUGGGCCGUAACUGACGCUGAGGAGCGAAAGCGUGGGGAGCGAACAGG